CUCCAUUUCUAAUGUUUAUUUAGGGCAUCUAUAGUUAUAGUACUGACUCUUUGUGUCAUCUAGAGUCAACAAUAAAAUAAAACAUACAAUGAGUUGUGUCUUUAAAUUAACUCUACAUAAUUUGAUAACACAUUAAAUCUGAUGGUGUAUAAUGGUUACAAGGUUGGCUCUUAGCUGACUUUUGAUCGACACAAAAAGUAAAUUAUUUUUCUCUUUUGCAUUUCUAUCUCCUCCGCAUCAAAAAUUAUAUGGUAUCGUGUCCUACCUGGGUUGCUAAAAUUUAGUAAAAACAAGGGUAUUUUUUAGUGAAACUAUAACACAACAUAAAUGAAAUGAAAUUUGAAACUAUAAUAAAAUAUAUAAAAAAAUCGUAGUGAAACUGGAAUAACAUAGUAACAAAAGAAAAAAAAAUCAUUUUUUUACAAACACAGUACAAACACAGACACUCACAACACUGCUCGGGAAAAGGUUAACAGCGGCGGUCUGAAUUACACACCGGUGGCGGUAACGCGGAUCGCCACUAAGCCUGCGCCACUGGUGCUAACGAGCACCGGUAGCAGGUAUUAUCGCCGUCGCUGGUGCUAACCAGCACCAGUGGCGGUUCGCAAAACCAUCACUGGUAACCCGUAGGGAGCUUCAGAAAGUGCACCGG
Molecule: long non-coding RNA, 652 nt
Filed under: Brachypodium distachyon (stiff brome)
Lineage: Eukaryota; Viridiplantae; Streptophyta; Magnoliopsida; Poales; Poaceae
Description: long non-coding RNA (BDIS_LNC002377)
Source: RNAcentral